This 485-nucleotide ribosomal RNA is filed under the name uncultured bacterium. RNAcentral describes it as "partial 16S ribosomal RNA". It matches the Rfam family "Bacterial small subunit ribosomal RNA", at positions 899 to 1397 of the family's 1533-position model. The record is from RNAcentral.
ACUCAAAUGAAUUGACGGGGACCCGCACAAGCGGUGGAUCAUGUGGUUUAAUAUGACGCUACGCGUAGAACCUUACCAAGGCUUGACAUCCCUGGGACCUGCAAGAAAUUGCGGGGUGCCUUCGGGAGCCAGGUGACAGGUGCUGCAUGGCCGUCGUCAGCUCGUGUCGUGAGAUGUUGGGUUAAGUCCCGCAACGAGCGCAACCCUUAUCGUAUGUUGUAUUUUUCAUGCGAGACUGCCCGGGCCAACCGGGAGGAAGGUGGGGAUGACGUCAGGUCGGCAUGGCCCUUACGCCUUGGGCUACUCACGUGAUACAAUGGCCAGUACAACGCGCAGCGAAACCGCGAGGUGGAGCAAAUCGCAUCAAAACUGGUCUCAGUUCGGAUUGGAGGCUGCAACUCGCCUCCAUGAAGUCGGAAUCGCUAGUAACCGUGGGUCAGCACACCACGGUGAAUACGUUCCCGGGUCUUGUACACACCGCCCGU